CACACCAAAAUACAGUAAAUAAUGAAAUAAAAAGAGAGAUAAUAGAAUUGGACCUCGAUUUGUAUCUUUCAAACUCAAUGUUAUUCGAAUAAAGAGAAUCCGCGCUCGAAAACCUCAAACCGAACCUCAAACAAACUAACUCAUCCAACUUGGAAUUGAGAAUCACAAAAAAAAGAGACCUAGACCAGAUUCUCACAAACCCACACAACCUCAAACUAAAAAUCUUGAUAAAUAAGAGAAAUCUAGCCCGAUUCCAAUGGGUUUGGACGAAAUCAAAAGCAGAUCGAGGUUUGUUUGAUGAUUUUGUAUCGCUGUAACCCCGGUAAACUUCGGCUAUGACCAAAAUGGCAAAGAUAUAUCAAUUGAGACGUGUUAGAUGGGUUUUGAACGAAUUUAUGAUAGCUAGAUGCGAUUCCGGCAAGCCUGUCACUGGAACAAUAAUCAAACCACCAAACUCGUGUUCCUCAAGCUCUCACUCGCCAGAAACUGCUUCGCCAUUAUUCUCUUUCGAUUUCAAUCGCGAAUCUCUCCCUUUCUCGCAAAUCUCUAUCACUUUCUCGCAGAUAGCUCUCUUGCAUAUCUCUCUCACUCUCUUGCAGCUCUUUCUUUCUCACGUCGUCUCUUAUCUAUCUAUUUCUGUGUGUAUCCCAGUAGAAUUAAGAGUUGGUGUACGCCAUUGUGGGUAAGGAGGGAGUUAAACAUAUGGUUGUGCGCAAUAUACUAGAUAUGGAGGGGAAACAGGAUAUAAUGGAUUUUGGGAGUGAUUAUGGAGAGCUUGGAUAUGAACUUGGGCUUGAGACUGACGAAAACGACGACAUCGUCUUCUUGGAUGUGCCCGUUCUCCUACUACAAUAGCAGUGCUAUCUUUCUCAUUCUUCUUCCCUCCAGAUUCCCUUAAUUGUUUGCAAUAUUGUCCCAAAUGUUUCACGAAUUCCUCAUGCCCAUCUUACUCCUCAAAUUUUGACAUCUCAAAUAUUGGAGGAAGGUUAGCACUUGAAGGCAUGCCCCUUUGUAUGAAACAUCUUCUUUACCUGUAGGUCCUAGAGAAUUUUUCAUAGUAUUUUCUGCACUUUUCAUCUUUCCAAUCAUUUUCUCCGACUCUUCUGGCACACUGGACUUCUUGUUAAGAAAUUUUGGUGGUCUAGUUAACUCAAAAGCAGGCUCAGGAUUAUAACAAUGAUCACCAAGAGUAUUGAAUAUAGGUUCACUAGCUGCAUGAGGACGCCCAAUCGUUGGGCGAGCCAGUGUGGAAGUCCCAGUAGAGGAUUGAGCAAUAAGAUCACAGACGACAUAUGGUGUUGUGAAUGUACAAGGCUUAUGCCGAGGAACUAGAGGAAAAGUGGUGGAAGUAUUGAGAUGCUUUCGGCUUGGAAUGAAUUAUGAGUAAUGUUGCGGUGCAUCAACAAUAGUAGAAAAUUGACUUUGAGAUUUUGGUGGAAAACUUGAGGUAUUUGUAGGAUCAAUAAAGGGAAAUGGAAGAGGAGGCAACCCACUGGCCCAAGCUCGAUGUAUUUCUGUCAUUUGUUGUCUUAGCCACCUAAUCUCUUGCUUCAAACUCUCAUUUUCCUGAUUCUUUGUUUGAUCCAUGACACCACUCUCUAUAUCUUUGUUGGACACAACUAACCCUUUGGAUUUGGUGUGAGGUGAAGGAUUAGCCAGAAUGCCACAAACCAACCACCUUAAACUGACUCAACAAAAAAAAAAUGUGUUAGAGUUCAACACUUUUUCAAAACCUCUUUUCUCUUUUUUUUUUUUUUGAAAAGAUCACCGAACCCAAUAAAGGCGCCUACAUAUCUCACUCCCAAAAGAGGAAAAUCAGGUAUGCGUAGUUCGUGAAGUCUUGCCAAAAUGGCCAAUUAAACUCUUUUUUUUUCCAUUCUUUUUCUUGAAACUUCAAAGAGAAGAAAAUAACAAAUUGUCAAAAGAAUUGACAAAAAUCUUUUUGUAUUUUUCAAGUUUAAAUCUUUAUACAAAAUGAAAUCUAUAAUUACCAAAGAAAAUCUUUUUGGGUUUUUGAUUUUGAAUUUCCUAUGAAAAUGAAACUUGAACCUAUUAAAAAAAAUCUUUUUGUAGUUUUCUUUUAAAAAUGUAUACUUACUCUAAAUAAAGUGUGAGGAAAAUCUUUUGAAUUUUUUCAGAUUCCUGUACAAAAUGAAAUCUAUGAUUACCAAAGAAAAUAUUUUUGGAUUUUCGAUUUUGAAUUUCAUACGAAAAUGAAACUUGAACCUAUUAAAGAAAAAUAUUUUUUUGUUGUUGUUUUCUUUUAAAGAUGUAUAUGAAACACCUACUCUAAAUGAAAAGUGAAGAAUUUUUUAAAUUUUUUUUUGGAUUUUUGAAAUAUGAUCCCCGAACCCACAAUAGGGUGCCUACAUAUCUCACUCCCGAGAGAGGAGAAUCGGGGGUGCGUAGUUUGUCCAGAUUGGACAAUUAAUGAUUAAAUAACAGAUUGCACCCUGACUUGAGGCACGACCAAAGACACACGAUGAACAACAUAACAAAAUCUUUUUUUGAGUUUUCAAUUUGACACUUCACAUAAAAAAUGACAACAACUACUAUGAAAGAAAAUCUUUUUGGUAUUUCGUUUUAUGAAAUGUACAAAACUUCUACCAUAUUUUUUUAAUUUUAUAAAAAGCUCCUAUUAAAAGAAAUCUUUGUUUGAAAUUUUCAAAUUAUGAAAGAUUAUUAAUGAAACAAAGAAAAAUCUUUUUGAUAUUUUUGUCUUUGACAAAAUGAGUGCAAAAGGUAAAAAAAUCUUUUUGAAUUUUUGGAUUGUGAAAAACAAAAGCCAUAAAGAAUUCUAAAAACAACGAAACUCAUUUUUUACUUUUUGACUCACUUUUUUCUUCCUUUUUUUUCAAACGCACCUUACUUCUAACAUAUGUUUUCUCCGAAUCAGUCCAUCAAAUGAUCAAGUUACCCUCAAAGAUGCAACAUUUAGCACAUAGGGAUGCUUUAGUGGUGAGUCUCCUAUAAAGGGCCACGUGGGUCUCACUAGGUCUCAAUAUGAUGUAGAUAAGCAUGAUCUAAAGGCUGACCUAUGUUGGGAUUUAGUAACAAAGUUGUUCGGGGGAGAAUAUGGUCGAUAGAGGCUGCUUUGCUUUCCACUCACUCCAUACGUCCGAUGGCUUCCCCUGCUAAAAUAAGGGUGACUCAACUAGAGUUUGUGUGCACGACGUGCACUCCAAGACUUGUUGCAGAAUAAAUGACUCGGGUUAUGCACAUGAUGCCAGAUAUAAAGCAGUAACACACGAUAAAAACUGUAAACAAAAAGCACGUAGGCACUCAACAAUGAUAAACAAUAACACAAAACAACUCAAACAAAAUGUCUAUACAUCUAUAGUGUUAAACUAAGCCAAUACAACGAAUUCUGAAGAGUCCCCAGCAGAGUAGUCAGAGCUUUCACACCCGUUUUUUACAACUCCAAAAGAUUUGAUUUUAGUUCAAAAGUGUUUUUAUUAUUAAAGUGAUAAAAUUAAGAUUUAUUCCGAAAGAAAUUCUUAUAUUCAAAACUCAGAGUCACCACUUGGUAUAAAUCAGGUGUGCUAGGUCACCUUUGGAAAUCCCUUUCAAAAUAAUUUGACUCUUUAAACUGGUUUGCGAACAGAGAUUUCGACUAAGGAAUUCUGUUGACCGAGGGGAAGUUGUUAGGCACCCCUCGAUCCCGUGGUUUGACCACGGUCGCUUGGUAGAGCGUAUCGGCUAAUUUGACAUUAUAAAUGUAUAAACGACAAAAAGCAUGCAAAACAAUCAAUCAAGCAAACAAAAUGAAACAAUUCAAAAUUUAGUGUCCAGUCCAAUUAUACAGUCCAAAAUAGAAAAAUGCGUAAAAUAUAAAUCCUAUUUUAAGCUAAUCCUAAAAUUGUGUUCCAAUGCCAUAACCAAUGCCUCGGGCCUUGAUCACGAGCCUCCUCUGCGUACAUGAUACUUUGGGGCAUUCUCCAGAUAAAUCAGUACAAAUCUCUCGGGGCAUUCCCCGACCAAAUGAAUACAUUAGAAUCAAGUACGCCCACUCACAUUCAAACAUUCAACCAGAAACAUGUUCUAAAUUACCUACCGAAACCUACAUUUGCCUAUCUGUUUCAACAAAAUUCAUUCUUAUUAUAAAUUAAACUGCUAAUAAUGAAUUAAAACAAAUACGUAUUCACUUUUAUCAAUUUUAAUUCCGCCCCAAACAACCAAUUUUAAUUCUCAAAUGAGAUGCUAUUUUACCAUACAAAUCAUAAUCAAAGGAACCAACCGCGAAUCAAAACAAAUACGCGUUCAUCACCAACAAGGAUCAAACAAAACACACAAUAUUUAAUCCAACACACCAAAGUACAGUAAAUAAUGAAAUAAAAAGAGAGAUAAUAGAAUUGGACCACGAUUCGUAGCUUUCAAACUCUGUUAUUCGAAUAAAGAGAAUCCGCGCCCGAAAACUUCGAACCGAAACUCAAACAAAGGAACUCAUCCAUCUCGAAACUGAGAAUCAAAGAAACAAAGAGACCUGGACCAGAUUCUCACUAACCCACUCAACCUCGAACUAAAAAUCAUGAGAAAUAAGAGAAAUCCAGCCCGAUUCCAAUGGGUUUGGAUGGAAUCAAAAGCAGAUCGAGGUUUGCUUAAUGAUUUUGUGUCGCUGCAACCCCGGUAAACUUCGUCUAUGACCAAAACGACAAAGAGAUAUUAGUUGAGACGUAUUCGAUGGGUUUUGAAUGAAUUUAUGACAGCUAGACGCGAUUUCGGUGAGCCUGUCACCGGAACAGUAAUCAAACCACCAAACUCAUGUUCCUCAAGCUCUCAGUCGUCGGAAACUGCUUCGCCAUCAUUCUCUUUCGAUUUCAAUCGCGAAUCUCUCCCUCCGUUGCAAAUCUCUGUCACUCUCUCGCAGAUCUCUCUCACUCUCUCGCAGCUCUCUCUUUCUCACGUCAUCUCUUAUCUAUCCAUUUCUGCGUGUAUCCCGGUGGAAUUAAGAGUGUGUAGUGUAUAUGGGUGUGUGACGGUGAGGUCAGUGUACGGGUAUUGUUGUUACUCUCUGAUGAGGAGGGCCUGUGUGAAAUAUAUAUAAAGAACGGAGAGAAUAUUGUGUUCUCUGAGGGUCCCUCCCCCCAAAAAAUUAAAAUUAUGUGCAAUGGUGUAUAAAUAUUUUAUUCUUUGUGAUGAUGGCCCAAGCAAAAAAGGUCCCCCUUAUCCAUUUGGAAAGAACGACGAAAAAGGAAUAUCACGUGGGCCCCCCUCCCCCUUCUUUUCAAUUCUGUAGCCGUAUAGUAUUUCCGUUGGACAAAAACAUGGG
Molecule: long non-coding RNA, 5269 nt
Filed under: Capsicum annuum
Lineage: Eukaryota; Viridiplantae; Streptophyta; Magnoliopsida; Solanales; Solanaceae
Description: long non-coding RNA (CANN_LNC009441)
Source: RNAcentral